RNAcentral lists this ribosomal RNA (968 nucleotides) under Escherichia coli. Its description in RNAcentral is "partial 23S ribosomal RNA". It matches the Rfam family "Bacterial large subunit ribosomal RNA", at positions 419 to 1387 of the family's 2925-position model. The record is from RNAcentral. Lineage: Bacteria; Pseudomonadati; Pseudomonadota; Gammaproteobacteria; Enterobacterales; Enterobacteriaceae.
GGGACACGUGGUAUCCUGUCUGAAUAUGGGGGGACCAUCCUCCAAGGCUAAAUACUCCUGACUGACCGAUAGUGAACCAGUACCGUGAGGGAAAGGCGAAAAGAACCCCGGCGAGGGGAGUGAAAAAGAACCUGAAACCGUGUACGUACAAGCAGUGGGAGCCUCUUAAUGGGGUGACUGCGUACCUUUUGUAUAAUGGGUCAGCGACUUAUAUUCUGUAGCAAGGUUAACCGAAUAGGGGAGCCGAAGGGAAACCGAGUCUUAACUGGGCGUUAAGUUGCAGGGUAUAGACCCGAAACCCGGUGAUCUAGCCAUGGGCAGGUUGAAGGUUGGGUAACACUAACUGGAGGACCGAACCGACUAAUGUUGAAAAAUUAGCGGAUGACUUGUGGCUGGGGGUGAAAGGCCAAUCAAACCGGGAGAUAGCUGGUUCUCCCCGAAAGCUAUUUAGGUAGCGCCUCGUGAAUUCAUCUCCGGGGGUAGAGCACUGUUUCGGCAAGGGGGUCAUCCCGACUUACCAACCCGAUGCAAACUGCGAAUACCGGAGAAUGUUAUCACGGGAGACACACGGCGGGUGCUAACGUCCGUCGUGAAGAGGGAAACAACCCAGACCGCCAGCUAAGGUCCCAAAGUCAUGGUUAAGUGGGAAACGAUGUGGGAAGGCCCAGACAGCCAGGAUGUUGGCUUAGAAGCAGCCAUCAUUUAAAGAAAGCGUAAUAGCUCACUGGUCGAGUCGGCCUGCGCGGAAGAUGUAACGGGGCUAAACCAUGCACCGAAGCUGCGGCAGCGACGCUUAUGCGUUGUUGGGUAGGGGAGCGUUCUGUAAGCCUGUGAAGGUGUGCUGUGAGGCAUGCUGGAGGUAUCAGAAGUGCGAAUGCUGACAUAAGUAACGAUAAAGCGGGUGAAAAGCCCGCUCGCCGGAAGACCAAGGGUUCCUGUCCAACGUUAAUCGGGGCAGGGUGAGUCGA